Molecule: long non-coding RNA, 253 nt
Filed under: Rhipicephalus microplus (southern cattle tick)
Lineage: Eukaryota; Metazoa; Arthropoda; Arachnida; Ixodida; Ixodidae
Description: uncharacterized LOC119165599, transcript variant X2
Source: RNAcentral
GGCAUACUGAGAUUUACAGAAACAGCUCCUCGAGUUCACCAUAUGGUGGAAACUAUGGCCGGUGCAGGAGACUUGGAAGACCUUGCAGGGGACCACGAGAUUGGAUUACUUGCGGUCCAACCUGCAUUUGUGAACAAAUACUCCAACCGUACUAUGGUUACUACGAAAACUCAUAUCGCUGGUCUCGCUGGAGUUGCGGGAACCCGCCUGCUUGGGAAUCGGCUUACAGAAUGUAAGCGAAACAUUGGGGCCG